This 72-nucleotide transfer RNA is filed under the name Camelus bactrianus (Bactrian camel). It matches the Rfam family "tRNA". Rfam says of the family: Transfer RNA (tRNA) molecules are approximately 80 nucleotides in length. The record is from Rfam by way of RNAcentral. RNAcentral also lists the same sequence under 1 other name. Lineage: Eukaryota; Metazoa; Chordata; Mammalia; Artiodactyla; Camelidae.
GAUGGCAUAGCUCAGUGGUGGAGUGCGUGCUUAGCAUGAAGAAGGUCCUGGAUUCAAUCCCCAGUACCUUCA